CGUAGGGGGCUAGCGUUGUCCGGAAUCAUUGGGCGUAAAGCGCGCGUAGGCGGCCCGGUAAGUCCGCUGUAAAAGUCAAAGGCUCAACCUUUGAAUGUCAGUGGAUACUGCCGGGCUAGAGUCCGGAAGAGGCGAGUGGAAUUCCUGGUGUAGCGGUGGAAUGCGCAGAUAUCAGGAGGAACACCAACGGCGAAGGCAGCUCGCUGGGACGGUACUGACGCAGAGGCGCGAAAGCGUGGGGAGCGAACAGGAUUAGAUACCCUGGUAGUCCACGCCGUAAACGAUGGGCACUAGGUGUGGGAGGUGUCGACUCCUCCCGUGCCGGCGCUAACGCAUUAAGUGCCCCGCCUGGGGAUACGGCCGCAAGGCUA
Molecule: ribosomal RNA, 371 nt
Filed under: uncultured organism
Description: bacterial SSU rRNA
Rfam family: Bacterial small subunit ribosomal RNA
Source: RNAcentral